UACAGAGGGUGCGAGCGUUAAUCGGAAUUACUGGGCGUAAAGCGUGCGUGGACGGUUAUGUAAGUCAGGUGUGAAAGCCCCGGGCUCAACCUGGGAAUUGCAUUUGAGACUGCAUAGCUAGGGUGCGGAAGAGGGAAGCGGAAUUUCCGGUGUAGCGGUGAAAUGCGUAGAUAUCGGAAGGAACAUCAGUGGCGAAAGCGGCUUCCUGGUCCAGCACCGACGUUCAGGCACGAAAGCGUGGGGAGCAAACAGG
RNAcentral lists this ribosomal RNA (253 nucleotides) under uncultured bacterium. Its description in RNAcentral is "partial 16S ribosomal RNA". It matches the Rfam family "Bacterial small subunit ribosomal RNA", at positions 524 to 776 of the family's 1533-position model. The record is from RNAcentral.